RNAcentral lists this ribosomal RNA (363 nucleotides) under Triticum aestivum (bread wheat). RNAcentral's name for it is "partial small subunit ribosomal RNA". The record is from RNAcentral. Lineage: Eukaryota; Viridiplantae; Streptophyta; Magnoliopsida; Poales; Poaceae.
AUGGGAUGCGGUGGAUUCGGGUCCAGGUUAGCAUGGGGAUGUUCCCCGGUCGACGUGCCACAGGGACAUGUGCCUUGCUGCUUGCAGCAGGCCUGUUCAUCGACUCAGAAAGCCAUUAUGGCGAUGGUGUUUCCCUGGAUUGGGCUAUGGUGGAGAUUGUGCUUCUUCUCCGGCGAGCGCCUCGGCGGCGUUGGAUAUUGGCUGCAAUUGUUAGCUUCAGUGUGUGCAGGGAUCCUUAUGGACCUUCUUGUAUUUUUCCAUGUCUUGGCAUCCUCUCUGCAUGGUUUUCAGGACGUCUGUCAACUCCUAGUUUCUCUAGAUGUUGCCGCGUGUGUUUGUACAUGUACUUUGAUUGUUGAUUAA